UUCACCCUAAUUUAGCACCUCCCUCUCCCGUGUCUUCAUUUCCCAAUCUUCAAAUUUUCGCAAGCCCUAAAUCGUGUAUCCAUAAGCUUCUUUCUACUGAGAUUUUCCCGCAAGCUGUACCCGCAAGCUUCUUUUUUCUGCUAUGAUUCUUCAAACAAAGGCUCUUAUUGUUCGUGGAGCUCUUCGGUUUGGGUUCGUCUUUGUCUUCCGUUGCUUAGGAACAAAAACCUGGUGCAUUUCUGGGUUGAACGAGUUCGACCGUCAAUGUAUUGUUCGUCGAAGGUCCUGGUGCCUCCAAUCGAGGGGCUCUAGCGUGUGUUCGCUCCCACACCGACCAUCAAGUAAUGUGGUCAAGCUUCGCUCUCUCUGCUUUUGCCUCUCUGAGAUGUUUUUGUCAUGUCCAAGGUAUAAUAAUUUGUUACAAAAUAAUCCUAUCAUAGUGAAAUUGAUUCCUGCAAUUGGCGUUAUCAAUUUUGCAAUAUAGGGUGUUGGUCCAUUAUUGUUCCAGACAAGGAAAAUACUCUUCCAGAGGAGUGAUAAUAGUUGGAAGAAAAGUACCACUGACUUUAUAGUAACUUCUUACCUUCCGCCAUUACUGUUAUGGACUGGAGCAAUACUUAUUUGCAGAGCAUUGGAGCCAUUAAUUCUACCUUCAGAACCUGAUCAGGUUGUUAAGGACCGGCUUCUGAAUUUUGUGAGAUCAUUAUCAACGGUUCUGGCCUUUGCCUAUUGUUUAUCAAGG
This is a non-coding RNA of Vigna umbellata (rice bean), 742 nucleotides long. The record is from RefSeq and is a predicted model, not a curated record. Lineage: Eukaryota; Viridiplantae; Streptophyta; Magnoliopsida; Fabales; Fabaceae.